GGGUAACAGGGAAGCAGCUUUGCUUUCUUCCGCUGACGAGUGGCGGACGGGUGAGUAAUGUCUGGGAAACUGCCUGAUGGAGGGGGAUAACUACUGGAAACGGUAGCUAAUACCGCAUAACGUCGCAAGACCAAAGAGGGGGACCUUCGGGCCUCUUGCCAUCGGAUGUGCCCAGAUGGGAUUAGCUAGUAGGUGGGGUAACGGCUCACCUAGGCGACGAUCCCUAGCUGGUCUGAGAGGAUGACCAGCCACACUGGAACUGAGACACGGUCCAGACUCCUACGGGAGGCAGCAGUGGGGAAUAUUGCACAAUGGGCGCAAGCCUGAUGCAGCCAUGCCGCGUGUAUGAAGAAGGCCUUCGGGUUGUAAAGUACUUUCAGCGGGGAGGAAGGGAGUAAAGUUAAUACCUUUGCUCAUUGACGUUACCCGCAGAAGAAGCACCGGCUAACUCCGUGCCAGCAGCCGCGGUAAUACGGAGGGUGCAAGCGUUAAUCGGAAUUACUGGGCGUAAAGCGCACGCAGGCGGUUUGUUAAGUCAGAUGUGAAAUCCCCGGGCUCAACCUGGGAACUGCAUCUGAUACUGGCAAGCUUGAGUCUCGAAGAGGGGGGUAGAAUUCCAGGUGUAGCGGUGAAAUGCGUAGAGAUCUGGAGGAAUACCGGUGGCGAAGGCGGCCCCCCUGCACGAAGACUGACGCUCAGGUGCGAAAGCGUGCGGAGCAAACAGGAUUAGAUACCCUGGUAGUCCACGCCGUAAACGAUGUCGACUUGGAGGUUGUGCUCUUGAGGCGUGUCUUCCGGAGCUAACGCGUUAAGUUCGACCGCCUGGGGCAGUACGGCCGCCAGGGUUAAAACUCAAAUGAAUUUGACGGGGGCCCCGCACAAGCCGUUGGAGCCAGGUGGUUUCAAUUCGAUGCAACGCGAAAGAACCUUUAACCUGGGUCUUGGCAUCCAACGGAAAUUUUUCAGAAAA
RNAcentral lists this ribosomal RNA (970 nucleotides) under Escherichia coli. RNAcentral's name for it is "bacterial SSU rRNA". It matches the Rfam family "Bacterial small subunit ribosomal RNA", at positions 64 to 1009 of the family's 1533-position model. The record is from RNAcentral. Lineage: Bacteria; Pseudomonadati; Pseudomonadota; Gammaproteobacteria; Enterobacterales; Enterobacteriaceae.